CUUAAAAAAUAAAUUCAGAUUUUCAAGUCAUCUGAAAUCACCAGAGUAAUUUAACCCACGUAAGCGCCUGAAGGUCUUUUUUCAACGUGCGGUAUGUCAGCGCAGGGGGCGUGUCUGUAGGAUACAGAGCGUCCCUGAAGUCCAUCAUUUCAUUCUGGUGAGAGUUCAAAUCUGGCGGGCAUUUUAUCUUUUGAGAUUUUAUCCUUUAGGUUGUGAUCUGAUGGUGAUGGAGUUGUUGGUGCAUCAAGUGGAAAUAUGUUCCUGAAGGCAAGACGCAGAAUGUGCAGGAAGAGGAGAGGGCACUGCAUUCAAGCACUUAGCAGCCUCCUGUCUCUGCUUGAUGAUGAUAAUGUGCUGUCUUCAAAAGAGUUCAGUUCAAAAGAAAAGGGCAGUCAUUCUGAGAGGCCUUCCACAUUUUCUCAGGGAGGAUUCAUCCAAACUUCUAAAUAUUGCUGAGACUACAGAGAGUGAGGAGUAAAUAUUGGUAUCUUGCUGAUAAGAGAAGAGGAGGACGUCAUUGAUUUUCAGAGGUACCGGAAGAGCAAAUCAUCCUAAAUGGCAUUCCUGACUUUCCUAAUGCGGUAGCUAUGCUUGUUGGUCUGCUAUUCACACUUAAUAUUGAUUACCCCAAGGAACUACUGAAAUACGGAAAUACUUCACUGUCCACAGUCACCAAUGCUUAAGAGCUAAUGUUUAAAAGUAUGUGUUUCGUUUAUUAUUAUGCUUAUUAUUAACAGAACAUUUCUUUUAUUACAGGAUGUAGAAAUAAAGUUAAGAUCUGCCGGUGGGUAUAUAUAUUAUGUCUUUCACUUUUGGGGUUGGCUCCGCCCCUGUCUCCAAUGUAGGACCUGCAGAGCCCAGAUGUAUCAAGUCCUGGGCCGAUGACAGGGCCUACGCCAAAGACUCUACUAGAAGAGACUGUUCUUUAUAUCCUCUUUAUAAUAUGUAUCUUUGUUUUGCUAAAAAUGUUAAAACAUUAAAUUGUUCAACUAACAACAUUUCUUCCGGAGUCGAAUAGUAGAAAUGAAAGUGCAGCGUAAGUUCUACUAAAGACUCCAAUGCUACGUCACCUAAUUACCUAUCCAAUCAGCUGUUCCCUUCUGCCUUUAAAUAAGAUCACUCAUUCAGUACCUUUGCUGCAUUUCAGACGCUGAUGGUCGUUCUUACUCUCCUCCUUCCCCACCGCCACCAGGUUGGUCCCGUUUGGUUGCCCGGGGGUUGGCUCCACCCCUGUCUCCAACGGACGACAGGGUCUGCAGAGCCCAGAUGUAUCAAGUCCUGGGCCGAUGACUGGGCCUACGCCAAAGACUCUACUAGAAGAGACUGUUCUUUAUAUCCUCUUUAUAAUAUUUAUCUUUGUUUUGCAAAAAAUGUUGAAACAUUAAAUUAUUCAACUAACAACA
Molecule: long non-coding RNA, 1403 nt
Organism: Astyanax mexicanus (Mexican tetra)
Lineage: Eukaryota; Metazoa; Chordata; Actinopteri; Characiformes; Acestrorhamphidae
Exons: 5
Source: RefSeq, a predicted model, not a curated record